GGCUAGGUAGCUCAGCUGGUUAGAGCGCGCGACUCAUAAUCGCGAGGUCGGGGGUUCGAGUCCCCCCCUCGCCACCA
This 77-nucleotide transfer RNA is filed under the name Albidovulum sp. RNAcentral describes it as "tRNA-Met". It matches the Rfam family "tRNA". From Rfam's summary of the family: Transfer RNA (tRNA) molecules are approximately 80 nucleotides in length. Their secondary structure includes four short double-helical elements and three loops (D, anti-codon, and T loops). Lineage: Bacteria; Pseudomonadati; Pseudomonadota; Alphaproteobacteria; Rhodobacterales; Paracoccaceae. RNAcentral also lists the same sequence under 2 other names. The record is from RNAcentral.